This is an RNA transcript of Hyposmocoma kahamanoa, 6462 nucleotides long. It is a transcript of the gene named vesicle-associated membrane protein 2-like, with no coding region annotated. The record is from RefSeq and is a predicted model, not a curated record. NCBI's taxonomy places the organism in Eukaryota, Metazoa, Arthropoda, Insecta, Lepidoptera, Cosmopterigidae. The transcript is spliced from 8 exons.
UCUUCGUACAAAUUGAGAAACCCAGCCGUAGGAGAAUUUCACUUCUCACUACAAUUCUGUAAAUCACAUUAGAAAGAUUUCUGUUCCCAUAAGCUAGGUAGUACAAAUAACUAACCCGUAAUCUUGACAUAAUAUUGUAAUCAAAAGGUGCCUCACUGAUAAAAAGGCAAUAUUAUAUUUAGAUAUUUCUUUAGUCGAUGUACAUAUAGAAAAUCUAGUGAGAGCUCUCCAUUCAUAAACUUGGUUCAUUUCGUGUUGAGCAGUGAAAAUAGUCAGUCAGCGAGUUUCAAUUCAAGCUUAGACCGUAGCAUCGAAACACAAGCGGCUAACGUGUCAAAGAGUGAACACGAAUCGAUAACGGCGGCCUGCCUCCAUUCACUAAAAAUUUAGACCGACAGACGAUCCAGUACAGCUAAAAUGGCGACUGAGGGCGGACUGGCGCCAGGCGGCGGCGACGGAGAUAUGCCAGUGGGCGGGCCCAAGACGCCGCAACAGAUCGCGGCACAGCGUCGUCUGCAGCAGACGCAAGCUCAAGUUGACGAGGUUGUUGACAUCAUGAAAACCAAUGUGGAGAAAGUGUUGGAGAGAGACCAGAAACUUUCUGAACUCGAUGAUAGAGCCGAUGCACUUCAGCAGGGGGCCUCGCAAUUCGAACAACAGGCUGGCAAACUGAAGAGCAAGUUUUGGCUGCAGAAUUUAAAGAUGAUGAUUAUCGCAGCGGUAAUCGGAAUCAUCAUACUGGCCCUGAUUAUUGCCAACUUUGUGUGAACAAGUUUCGGUAACCGAAGUUUCAUUUAAAAGUUACUUGUUAUAAUAUUAAUGAAUAAUCAUAAUAAAGUAUGUUGUUAAUUUAUUUAAUUACGUCAUUGGUACCUACUAAGCCUAUUUUGGUCUGUAAACACUCGGUUCCUGAGGAGAUAAUCCAGAUACCAAAUUACAUCGUCAAACCAAUCACGCUCCCUGGGAAAAGAACGGCGAAUAUUUUUAACUAAAAUUUAGAAUUAAACAAUUGGCUGCUACUGAAUUAGUAACAUCUCUCAGGCUGUUGGACGAAACGUCUCUUUUAUUUUCAAAUAUCCCACACACAAUCCAAGAGUAGCGUCAAGUUAUAGGGAUAGGGCUUAGCGGGCAUUGCAUGUAAUAAAACAUAUUGGAACACUAAAUAUCAAUAUCAAAUCGGAUUUUUAACUUUGUAACUAUAUCAAUUAACAAUUGUACCUAAAUAUAUGGAAUAAUAUCCUUGAAAUAUUUUAGAACUGUUGUCAAUAUCUAACCCACCGUUUCUUGUAUAGAGUAUUUUUAGAUGGUCUUUCUUUGUUAAAACUUUACCAAAAAAUGACUAAUUUAUAGAAACGGGUACUUGCUAAUAUUUACUACGUACCUAUAUCUACUUACAUAUUUAAAUAAGGCUUAUCAAAACCACAUUUCGAAGAUUUAAAAUUGUGUUCAGAGAAUAACUACAUAUGUGUACGUAUAUCAAAAUAAAACAUUUUAUUUUGUUAUAUUGGACCAAGUUUCUAAAGAAUUGUGUAACAGUUUAUUCUUGUACUUUAUAUAUUUUUUAUUUCUGAACAAUUUAAUUGUUAAUCUUUGACAAUUUAUCUGGCAGACUAUAAUGCGUUUGACUUUGCCUUUAUUAUCUAUCUAGACUUUGUAAUCCCAUUUUUAGAUGUUGAACAUGAACAUAGUUGAUUAGUUUUAGUAGUAAGUUAUAUGAUGGUCUCUAGUCAAUCAUUUAUUUUCAUAUAAACCAGUUUACUUGUUAUACUAGUCACUGAUAAUUAGGUAUUCAUCCAUCAUACACUGUCAAAAAAUAACCCAAAGCAAUAAUAAUUGUUGGUAUUUAUAGACAUAGUUAAUCAAACAAGAAACACCAAUAAGUUCACGAACGCUAGCGUAGUCACUAGAUUUUGCAGAAAUAUUUUCUUAAUUAUAAGCAUGUUAGCAGUUUUUUAAGUAGUAUAUUCACUUAUAUAGCAAUUUCAAUUUAGAAGCGAGAAUUUGUAUUUAAACCGUUGUUUACAUUUGCUGCGAAUAGAAAUACAAAUAUAAUACGAAAUUGAACCUAAGAACCCCUAUCUAAGUAUUCAACAAGAAGUUCCGUAAUCUACCAUUAAUUUCACAUCAAAACAUACUAAUAUAGGUAGCCACUUAAAUGUAUCUGGCCAGUGUUUUUAAUGUUUACCCUUACUAUAUAUAUAACGUAUCUUUAAACUAUUUAUCUUUUUCUGUGUGUGUAUUACACUUACUGUACGUAAAACAGUUUAAAAAAUAGUGAGAAAAUGUUAAAAAAAAUAAGAUUGAUUAAUAGGUGUUUUAAUUGUAGCCACACAUAAGUUAUCGUCUUUUUAUAAACGUGCUAAGUAUACGCAUCAAUAGUGCUUAAAGAUCGGGCGUACGAAAGCAGUCAUUCUAAGUACCUACUAACAAUACUUAGUGUUUUAAUCUUAAAAGUAGAGUUAAUGAAUUACUUAUAUGUCAUGUUUUUCUAUUAAUUAUGUUGCUUAUGAUACAUAUAAAAUAUCUAUCGCGACUAUGCACGGCGAUUUCCCUUAUAAAUUACGUGCUGUAUAAGCCCGAUAUUUAAAUAUUAUUGACGCUUGUGUUAAAUGGAUAUAAUUAAAUUAGGAAUUAGCUAGGAAAGAGUUGUCACGUGGAAAAUCGCAGUGUUAAUUUUAGAGCGACACUAUCAAAACAUGGUUAUACGCCAAAAAUUAAACAUAUAGGACUGUACUGAAGCGUUCAAUAAAUCUUUAGUAAACAAAAAGAUCCUUGACAAUGAUCAAUCUGAGCCAGAAAUGAUAAUGUUAAUUUAUUUCAAGCGUUGUGUUGUCGGAAAUUGUAAAGAACGUCACGAAAUGUUUUCUUGAAUAAUUAAUAAUUUAUUUCGGGCAAAAUUUGUUUUGUCUCAUAGGCCAUCUCACAUACCAAUAAUGUUGGAUCCCAUAGUAAUAUCUCAUAAACCUUUGCACAGUCACGUCAGAUACCUUAUUUCGCGUAAACGCCAGCACAGGUAGGGUCGCUUUAAAAUCAACUAUUGACAUUUCCAAUGAAAAUUGUUAUAUAGACGGUAGGCAACAAAUGUGCGGUUAGUCGAUCUAUUGCUCCUAUAAGGUAUCCCUCAAGGACAAACACACAGCAUUAAUAAAGGGAAAUUACCGAGAGCCAAUAUAUGGCUUAUGUUGAUAGCCAUUUAAGCCGGGUCUCAUAAGCGUGUUUUGCUCUACACAAUACAUAAAAGUAUAUUCACCAAAUACUUUGUUUGCAUGCUCGUGGCAAAUCUAGCUCGCGUAUUAUGUGGGUGAACAUACUAGGUAUAGCUCAAACGAAGAAGGAGCGCAAUUGAGUCGCUAGCGGGAGUAAUUAUUAUAAAAAAUGUAAAUGCGCAUUUCAUUUCAAUCUUAUCUAAUGAAAAGUGGCGAUGAGGUCGACCAAGGAGCAUACACACCUAAAUAAUGCCUAUUGAAUCUCGCCUUGAAAAGGGCCAUGUUACAGCGUUCAGGGAAUAAGUCUCCAUUCAGGGAAUUCCACUCCAUAGCCGUUCCAUAUAGAGCCAUAUAUAUAAAUGUGGAAGCGUAACGCUUCGUGCGAAUCUUUGGAAUUACUACAAUAUAGGGGUGAAAUCCCAGCCUACGUCUAGUCCCACGAUGAAGGAAAGGGGGAGGCGAGUUGUUAACUAAUUAUUGGUUAACAUAUUAUAAUCAAUAAAUGUGUCGAGGAUUAUAGCGAACCAAAGUAUUGUCCUAUAUUGACAGCAAAACCCGCGCUGGAGACCCGACUAUAGAAAAAAAUAUUUUUAGCGCUUAGUGUAGUAAGAAAAUGCCUCGUUUUUUGAAACGCAAUAAUAAUAGUGUUUUAAUAUCUGAAAUAAAUAUAAAUAAGGGUACUCCUAACGGGCCUGAAAAAAGUUCAAUAAUCAUAAACCGACAUAUUACAAUUACUACUCAUAUAAACAAUCGCACACCAUAUAUAUUAUACUUAUUAUAAUAAAGUACCUAUAUCGACACUGUGUAACGAUGAGUUCUAAUAUCUCUAAAGUUAGUAUAUAGCUAAAUUAGACCUCACAAUUUGUUCGAUCAAACUGAAACCGCCUAAAGUUCUGCUCUAUACAAUGUUUUGUGCUUACCGUAUAAAUAUUGUGUUUUGGAAAUUGAGGCUGAAAUUACAUUCACUGUAAGGUAUUUGAAACCACACCAGAAAAUAUAUAUUAAAUUAGUUAUACACAAUGUAACAAAACAGUUCGUUCGUAAUUCAGUUGGUGACGAUCUGUAAACGUGUAUAUAAUUUGAGCCAUAAAAUAUUGGCAUGGAGAACAUAAUAAUGGUAUGAAAUUUAAAAAUAGUGGGCUAAAGUUUUUCGUUGACCCGAGAUCACCAGCUGAAAUAUGGUCAAACCCCUGUGUUACCAGUGAAUAAGAUAGAUUUUAAUGGAUUUAAGGAUUUAAAAGUAUUGGUUUUUAUCUUAAGAAAACGAUUGAUUUUACCGCUAAUAAUUCACACGAGUUAUACGUAUACAAUAAGCUACAUAAUUACGUGCUCACAAAUAGGUAUAGCGAGGUUUCGGGGUAGUCACCGUGUUAAUCCACAAUGCAGAAUUCCCCAAUUCAACGUUUUGGACGACCAGAACCUAAGAUAUGGGCUCACGCCCAAAAAAUAAAAUGUGCUUUAUAAUAACUGCUCGUUGAAAACCAUUUGAUGAUCUCAAGUCGUAUACUUAAUCACCAUGACGUCGUCGGUAGCCUAAUAGCUUGCACUGUGGGCGCUGAAUGUCGAGGUCCCGGGAACGAUUCCCGGUAGGACCAAUUUGGGAAAUGAACUUUUCUAAAUUAAUUCUAGUCUGAAAUAAAUUUUCAGUCUGCAAAAAUUUUGGUACUCACAGUACAGAGAAUUUCAUAGUCUAAGAUCAGGUAAUAGACGUUAGCUGCCUGGCACAUUAUAUUUAAAAUAAAUCGUUAUUGUGUACCUGCAUAAAUUAAUACUUUUAAAGCUUUAAUUAUAUUAAUAAUAGAAUAUAAUAUAGUAAUAUUUAUAAUAGUUUAUUUUAGCUGUUAUCUUCAUGUUAUUUAUUCGAAAUAUAACAAUUAGUUAAACCAUCUACAAUAACCUCUUUAUAGUUCAUCAUUACAUGAAUUCGAAUUGAUGUACUUAGAUAUUCAAUAACAUUAAACCUUUACUACCUUGGCAUAGUUGAAUCAGGAAUUAUAAUGAGAUCGUUUAAAAGACUCUGAGUAGAUCCUGUCUAUGAAUACAUAAAAUUUCUGUUUUACUUUUCCUACAUGUCUCUAAAAAAUAAAUUCCCAAUAAGAGAUAUACCAAACCUACCUACAAGGCUAAUAAAGUAUAUAAAUGUAUUCAAAAGACAAGAUUUUUUUGUUUAAAUCAAAUUUAGACAAAAACAAACUCUAUUUAUUUUGGGCUUUGAACGUGUCAGCCCCAUUAGAAACAUACAUCAACAAAAACAUUUAAUAGAAUUUAAACAGAUUACUCGAAAUACUACCUAACCAAACAUGUAUACAAAAUCUUCGUGGCGCUACUUGUUGACUCCUAUGAAAUAAAUUGAAAUAACCAAAACCAAUCUGUACUACUGUUUUGCAAAUUAUGAAUAGGAUCGCCCCUUAAAACUCAUAAAAUGAAAUUAUACGCGUGAAGUGUUUAUUGUGCUUGUGAAUGUUUUAAUGAAACUUUAUAGGUACCUAACAAUGUGUAAAAAACACAUUUACAAAUAGCCAAUAACUUAGUUAUUUUAAAAAUUGAAAUUAGAGAGGCUACAUACGGCAGCUGUUAGCAGUGCGUCUGCAGCGAUUCAGUAGUGAUGUAGUCGCUAAUCGUCUACCUCUAACACACACGCGUGACAACCGCAAUGCCAACGCGGUGCAAUACCUAUGCGCGUUUAUUAAACUGAUAGAUAUUAUUUCAAAUUCGGUGUUAGUAUUAAUGAGACUCACUGUCACAAAGUUAAAUGACAAGUUAAUGCAAAACGCCCCGUAUCCUAAACAAAAAGCAAAGGGUACCUAUUCAAAAAAUGAAGUAUCAAAAGUUUUACAACUGAUCAUCGAAAGACAGCUCAUGAUUUAACUAUUGACAUUGUUUCAUUCACAUAACGAACUUAUAAUUUUACUAGAUAAUAUUACUAAUAAUAAGUAUUUAUUUAGAAAACUUAACAUGUUGAAACGAAUAUAAAAUGUUAUAUUCCUACCUCGAAUAACUAUUAACGACACUAUCAUUAUAUUACAAAUCACUACUUAGACAAAUAUUGUCACAGCCUCAUAAAUUUGAAUCAAUAGGUUGUUAGAAUGUAAAUAAUUUCAUUUCUUGUAUCGAAAUUCAAGCAAUCUUUAAGCACCCAUAUAUUGUGUCUCAUCAAAAAAAGAUUAACUAUUGAAUGUUAGGUUAUAUGGUAUGUAAACCGUAUAAAGUAUGUAAUUAUUGCUUCAGUAAAAUAAAGCAACUUUGAAUAAAAAGU